GUGCUACUAUGGUCAUCGCAUAUUUAUCAUCAAUGUUUCUUCCAAAUUUUUUUAUAGGUAUAAUUAAUGAACAAUAGAUGAUGGAGUAGAACUAGGUAAAUUUUUGUUUCUACUUCUUAUGCAUCGAUGAAAUUUCUAUGGCAAUGGAGUACCUACUACCCCUACAUCAUAUAUUCCCUUCUUACUGUGGUUUACCUCGGUGUAUGUGGUCUUGUAAAAGAAAUCUGUUGUGUUUUGCUGGGUGUUAGUUAGUGUUGAAUUUUGAUAACCAACAAUACCACCACAACUUUAUUUUUUGUCUUUCUAUGACUAAUCCUAGUGCUUCACGUAGGAAGCACAUAUCCUAUAAAAUGCAUAGGACUCAUUUAGUUUGCGAACAAAGAAGAAAGAAAAGCGUGAUUAACGAAAAAAACAAAUAAAUACCUUCUAUUUUGUUGGAGUUUUUAAAGGAGAGAGGUGAGAAAGUAGCAUUUCUAUACGAAUAAGAUUUUCAUGUUUCAUAAGGAAAAAAUUCAUGAGAGACAUGAAAAUGU
This 533-nucleotide long non-coding RNA is filed under the name Phoenix dactylifera (date palm). Its description in RNAcentral is "long non-coding RNA (PDAC_LNC007961)". Lineage: Eukaryota; Viridiplantae; Streptophyta; Magnoliopsida; Arecales; Arecaceae. The record is from RNAcentral.